Molecule: long non-coding RNA, 2491 nt
Organism: Sardina pilchardus (European sardine)
Lineage: Eukaryota; Metazoa; Chordata; Actinopteri; Clupeiformes; Clupeidae
Exons: 3
Source: RefSeq, a predicted model, not a curated record
AAGAGCUUUGGCACGGUCGCACCACUGGGCAGGAUUAGAGCCGUCUACCUGUCCCAUCCCCCUCUCCCCUCCUCUCCCACCUCAAAGGGAAAAAAUCUAAACAGAAGAAAAAGGAAAACAGGAAAAGCUUGUAUGUAGCCAGCCCGUGGUAUGUUCCCCUUUCUGGCAGUUAGCUUAGCUUUGCUGUCACAGUGGACUGGACCACUAAGGCGGUUAAUUAUUGCCCAAACCUGUUCAGACUGGUUUGAUUUGAUGCCACGGCAGCGACGAAAAAAGGCUGCUUUUACUAACAAUAUUUUGGGUGACAAAGGAGAAGGAGACAGGCACGUAAAGCGACUCGGCAGUCCUCCCCAACAGCCACAUCAACAGUCAACAAAAGCCUUGGGUGGGGCCACAAAGGCUGAGCCCCUCCGGCAGAGCGGCACAAGCCAUUAUGAGCGCAAAACCUGAAAGCCGCGCAAAGACAAUCAUGAAGAAGAAUGAUCGCCAGAAACCGUGUUGGAAAAAAAAAGCCUCUCAGUGCCAGUUGGUUGGUGUCGCUCUUGCAGACUUGUCUUCCUCCUGGCUGCCGACUGACGACCUCUGAAGCAGCUCUGCCUACGGAGCCAUGGUUUUCAGGCGAAGGACGGCGGGAUCAGGCUUGUCGCUCGACACCGCCAUGGCCAGACAACCUCGAGCAAGCGAAGAACCGGUGUCGACAGGAAGGCUGGAGGAUGGACCAAAACCUUUGUCUUCCAAAGAGACAGAGAGAGAGAUCGAGAGCGAGUUUGUUUGCCUGGAACCUUGGAGCGAUGCUACCUGUUUAAGCUCUAAGAGACGAGAGACAGAAUUUGUAAAGGGCUUGGUUUACAUGUAUCGUUCCCCCUCCUACCCCCACAGGUGUAAUUUUCGCGUCGCAACCAAUCUCCUUAGCCUCUGGCGCUUGCAGGUGUGUCCCCUGGUCCAUGAUAGGCCAACUGGGCCGGGAGGACAGGCCCCCACCUUUCCGUCUGUUCACCUGCCCCCGCCCAAGGUCUGGAGAAGGACAUCAUUAAAAUGGGAAGUAGAUGAGAUGGGUGUGGAGCUGAACUGAUGAAUCCAUUUCCCCUCAGCUCGCGGUUACUCAUUCAGCUCUCCGGCUGAAAGGGGUCACAGACGGCCUGGCCCUUGAUUGUCCAGUCACUCAAGUGUACAACUCAGACACAACCAUGCGGAGAGCCCCAUUUCCAUCAGCUGGGAGACUGGCCUGUGUCUCCCUCCCUCUAAGAGAGAGGGACAGAGAAAGAGAGAGAGAGAGAGAGAGAGAGGAGGGAGGGAGGGGGAAAAGAAAGAGAAAGAGGGAUAGAGGCCAUGACUGUGGAUACUUUGGGCUGCUUCAGGAAGGAGGCAACUCUCUCUCUCUUUCUCUCUCUCUCUCUCUCCUUCUCUCUGUCUGAAAGGUGCACUUUGUUUAGCAUUCUCAUUUGCAUUCCAAAUGAGGUUUAGAGUGAAGCGCUGGGGCACAACCAGAGUUCAUUUGGGUAGAGAUGGGUAUCAGGCAGCCCUGUCACGCAACACUAAUGGAGGGGACUGUCAGCAGCAGGCCUCACCGGCCUCUAGCCGAAAAAAAACCCCUCUCUCUCUCUCUCUCACAUACACACACACCCACACACACACUCACACACACACACACACACACACACACACACACACACACACACACACACACACACACACACACACACACACACACACACUCACUCACUCACUCACACAGAAACUCUUGCGAUGGGGGGAGGGGACAGAAGACAAGCAUAAUGUAGCUAAGAGGCUGUAAUUGUCUACCACAUACGAGUCACAGGAUCCAGGUGAAAAGAUAAAUGUCUCUAAAUGAUUCUUACUGUAUGUAAUAACUCAGUGUGAACCAGGCAUCGUCUAUGGCAAGGCUGAGUUAAUAUUAUGACUCCUUCUUGAAUGGAUGUCCAUCUCAAAAUGCUGUAAAGUGAUCAUUUACAUGUUGCUUUGCAUCAGGGACACGCUUGCAGGGAGUGCCUAGGCUAAGGGUUGGUCACCAAUGCCAGGUUCCCCUGUUUAGACGUGUGCUUCCAACAUAAAGCCUAAGGCGGUUGCUAUAUGUUAUCCUCAGAUGCAUGUGUUGCCUGGUAAGGUUGCCACAUCUCGCCCUUUAUGUCAAAGCCUCCAAUUUCAUCUGACUACUUCACACACAGAAUGUCAAAAAUAAACAGCGACGCUAUACUCUCAAACGGACCACACCCUCUGCAGGCUGUCAUAAUGAUUUACAUCGUGCACAUACAGUAGCCUACCUUAUAAUUAUUUAUCUUCCUUGUUCGACAUACAGUAUGCCUCUGAGUUUAAACACCGCCCUGUGGACUCCAAAGGGCCUACUUAGCUGGAGAUGUUUUAUUUUUAUUUGGGGGGUGUCUGCACCCCACCCACACCUGUGGGUUUCUUGUAAUGCCUUCAGUCAACAUUUUUUUUUUUUUUUUAAAUAGGUAGCUCUAUCACAGCUACA